AUUGAACGCUGGCGGCAGGCCUAACACAUGCAAGUCGAACGGUAACAGGAAGAAGCUUGCUUCUUUGCUGACGAGUGGCGGACGGGUGAGUCAUGUCUGGGAAACCGCCUGAUGGAGGGGGAUAACUACUGGAAACGGUAGCUAAUACCGCAUAACGUCGCAAGACCAAAGAGGGGGACCGUCGGGCCUCUUGCCAUCGGAUGUGCCCAGAUGGUGUUAGUUGGGAGGUGGGGUAACGUCUCACCUAGGUGACGGUCCCUAGCUGGUGUGAGAGGAUGACCAGCCACACUGGAACUGAAACACGGUCCUUGCUCCUACGCGAGGCAGCAGUGGGGAAUAUUACACAAUAGGCGCAAGCCUGAUGCAGCCAUGCCACGUGUAAGAAGAAGGCCUUCGGGUUGUAAAGAACUUUCAGCGGGGAGGAAGGGAUUAACGUUAAUACCUUUACUCAUUGACGGUACCCGCAAAAGAAGCACCGGCUAACUCCGUG
Molecule: ribosomal RNA, 490 nt
Filed under: uncultured bacterium
Lineage: Bacteria
Description: partial 16S ribosomal RNA
Rfam family: Bacterial small subunit ribosomal RNA
Source: RNAcentral